AGUGAACGCUGGCGGUAGGCCUAACACAUGCAAGUCGAACGGCAGCACAGUAAGAGCUUGCUCUUACGGGUGGCGAGUGGCGGACGGGUGAGGAAUACAUCGGAAUCUACUUUUUCGUGGGGGAUAACGUAGGGAAACUUACGCUAAUACCGCAUACGACCUACGGGUGAAAGCAGGGGAUCUUCGGACCUUGCGCGAUUGAAUGAGCCGAUGUCGGAUUAGCUAGUUGGCGGGGUAAAGGCCCACCAAGGCGACGAUCCGUAGCUGGUCUGAGAGGAUGAUCAGCCACACUGGAACUGAGACAAGGUCCAGACUCCUACGGGAGGCAGCAGUGGGGAAUAUUGGACAAUGGGCGCAAGCCUGAUCCAGCCCUACCGCGUGGGUGAAGAAGGCCUUCGGGUUGCAAAGCCCUUUUGUUGGGAAAGAAAAGCAGCAGGUUAAUACCCCGCUGUUCUGACGGUACCCAAAGAAUAAGCACCGGCUAACUUCGUG
RNAcentral lists this ribosomal RNA (492 nucleotides) under uncultured bacterium. Its description in RNAcentral is "partial 16S ribosomal RNA". It matches the Rfam family "Bacterial small subunit ribosomal RNA", at positions 29 to 507 of the family's 1533-position model. The record is from RNAcentral.